RNAcentral lists this non-coding RNA (94 nucleotides) under Chryseobacterium koreense CCUG 49689. RNAcentral describes it as "Bacterial large subunit ribosomal RNA". It matches the Rfam family "Bacterial large subunit ribosomal RNA", at positions 2831 to 2925 of the family's 2925-position model. Lineage: Bacteria; Pseudomonadati; Bacteroidota; Flavobacteriia; Flavobacteriales; Weeksellaceae. The record is from Rfam by way of RNAcentral.
AGGGUCGUGGGAGAUGACCACGUCGAUAGGCUGCAGGUGUAAAGCCGGCAACGGCAUAGCCGAGCAGUACUAAUUACCCGUAGAUUUAUGGCCU